This is a long non-coding RNA of Sipha flava (yellow sugarcane aphid), 633 nucleotides long. RefSeq lists it as uncharacterized. The transcript is spliced from 3 exons. NCBI's taxonomy places the organism in Eukaryota, Metazoa, Arthropoda, Insecta, Hemiptera, Aphididae. The record is from RefSeq and is a predicted model, not a curated record.
CCGAAACCUUCAGUAUAUUGCCACUGCUCUGAUUCACUCCAUCCACCUGUUGCUGCGGAAAGGAAAAUAAUACCACAUCGAAUACGUAAGGCGCAUCCGGUCUGGAUCUGACUAGAUGAUCGUCGAUGGUGAUCUAAUGGUCGCUUUGAUUGACGCUCGUCGACGAGUUUUCUGGAAAACGAGCGAUACAUUAGUGGCUACACGGGUCGGUUGAUAUCACUAGGGAUGAAUAAAAUGGCUACGCUCUUGCCAUACACAUGCAACAUCAUGUCCUCAGCAGCGGAACUGUUCGGGAACGACGAGCCGCUUCUAGAUGCAGCCAUUGUGGUCACGAAGGGAAAAUGGCGAUCGAGUAGGAUCCGUUCGACAGGGGCUGAAAUGAGUACUUAUGCAGCCGUUCUACGUGUCUUGAUCUUCUAACGCAUCGGCUUCAACUUCUAAGUAAAAUGUCCGUACAAUAAAUGAUACCGAAGCAUCAUCAAUAGAGACGAAGCUGUGGAAUCUAUGCGCAAUGGGCCGUUUCUUCUAAUUCCGUCACACUCAAUCCUUGGGGUGUGACUAACCCACGCGCUUCCUGGAUCUCCGGUCCUCGGUGCAUUUAAUUAAUAUACCGGGCGACAAAAUUAUCAUCUA